CUUCGGUCUGGGCUAGUAGCUUUUUGUUUUAAACCCAUUCUACAAUACUGAUUAUACUGUGGGGACGAAAGUCUCUGCUUUUAACUAGAUAGCAACUUUCAGCAGUGGAUGUCUAGGCUCGCACAUCGAUGAAGAACGCUGCGAACUGCGAUACGUAAUGCGAAUUGCAGGAUUCAGUGAGUCAUCGAAAUUUUGAACGCAUAUUGCACUUCCGGGUUAGUCCUGGGAGUAUGCCUGUAUCAGUGUCCGUACAUCAAACUUGGCUUUCUUCCUUCCGUGUAGUCGGUGGAGGAUGUGCCAGAUGUGAAGUGUCUUGCAGGUGUCCUUCGGGUCGUCUGCGAGUCCUUUGAAAUGUACUGAACUGUACUUCUCUUUGCUCGAAAAGCGUGGCGUUGCUGGUUGUGGAGGCUGCCUGCGUGGCCAGUCGGCGACCGGUUUGUCUGCUGCGGCGUUUAAUGGAGGAGUGUUCGAUUCGCGGUAUGGUUGGCUUCGGCUGAACAGGCGCUUAUUGUAUGCUUUUCCUGCUGUGGCGUGAUGGACUGGUGAACCGUAGCUGUGUGUGGCUUGGCUUUUGAAUCGGCUUUGCUGUUGCGAAGUAGAGUGGCGGCUCCGGCUGUCGAGGGUCGAUCCAUUUGGGAACUUUGUGUGCACCUCGGUGCGCAUCUCAA
Molecule: unclassified non-coding RNA, 668 nt
Filed under: Phytophthora multivora
Lineage: Eukaryota; Oomycota; Peronosporomycetes; Peronosporales; Peronosporaceae
Description: sequence contains ITS1, 5.8S rRNA gene, ITS2
Rfam family: 5.8S ribosomal RNA (bases 94-248)
Source: RNAcentral